AUACGUAGGGUGCAAGCGUUAAUCGGAAUUACUGGGCGUAAAGCGUGCGCAGGCGGUUUUGUAAGACAGAGGUGAAAUCCCCGGGCUCAACCUGGGAACUGCCUUUGUGACUGCAAGGCUAGAGUACGGCGGAGGGGGGUGGGAUUUCCCGUGGAGCAGUGAAAUGCGUAGAUAUGCGGAGGAACACCGAUGGCGAAGGCAAUCCCCUGGGCCUGUACUGACGCUCAUGCACGAAAGCGUGGGGAGCAAACAGGAUUAGAUACCCUGGUAGUCCACGCCCUAAACGAUGUCAACUGGUUGUUGGGUCUUCAUUGACUCAGUAACGAAGCUAACGCGUGAAGUUGACCGCCUGGGGAGUACGGCCGCAAGGUUGAAACUCAAAUGAAUUGGCGGGG
Molecule: ribosomal RNA, 395 nt
Filed under: uncultured bacterium
Lineage: Bacteria
Description: partial 16S ribosomal RNA
Rfam family: Bacterial small subunit ribosomal RNA
Source: RNAcentral